UCGGGAAUAUUGCGCAAUGGAGGAAACUCUGACGCAGUGACGCCGCGUGCAGGAAGAAGGUUUUCGGAUUGUAAACUGCUUUAGACAGGGAAGAAAAAGACAGUACCUGUAGAAUAAGCUCCGGCUAACUACGUGCCAGCAGCCGCGGUAAUACGUAGGGAGCAAGCGUUAUCCGGAUUUAUUGGGUGUAAAGGGUGCGUAGACGGGAAGGCAAGUUGGUUGUGAAAUCCCUCGGCUUAACUGAGGAACUGCAACCAAAACUAUCUUUCUUGAGUGCUGGAGAGGAAAGUGGAAUUCCUAGUGUAGCGGUGAAAUGCGUAGAUAUUAGGAGGAACACCAGUGGCGAAGGCGACUUUCUGGACAGUAACUGACGUUGAGGCACGAAAGUGUGGGGAGCAAACAGGAUUAGAUACC
This 414-nucleotide ribosomal RNA is filed under the name uncultured bacterium. RNAcentral's name for it is "bacterial SSU rRNA". It matches the Rfam family "Bacterial small subunit ribosomal RNA", at positions 355 to 786 of the family's 1533-position model. The record is from RNAcentral.